This 98-nucleotide non-coding RNA is filed under the name Tsukamurella pulmonis. Lineage: Bacteria; Bacillati; Actinomycetota; Actinomycetes; Mycobacteriales; Tsukamurellaceae. The record is from RNAcentral.
GGUCCGCGGGCGGGAGCCCGCGGCGCAAGAGGGAACCCGGUGCGAAUCCGGGGCUGCCCCGCAACGGUGAUCACCCCGGUGAGAGCCCGAUACCUGCC